Molecule: ribosomal RNA, 1776 nt
Filed under: Staphylococcus aureus
Lineage: Bacteria; Bacillati; Bacillota; Bacilli; Caryophanales; Staphylococcaceae
Description: bacterial LSU rRNA
Rfam family: Bacterial large subunit ribosomal RNA
Source: RNAcentral
GUCGAGUGACACUGCGCCGAAAAUGUACCGGGGCUAAACAUAUUACCGAAGCUGUGGAUUGUCCUUUGGACAAUGGUAGGAGAGCGUUCUAAGGGCGUUGAAGCAUGAUCGUAAGGACAUGUGGAGUGCUUAGAAGUGAGAAUGCCGGUGUGAGUAGCGAAAGACGGGUGAGAAUCCCGUCCACCGAUUGACUAAGGUUUCCAGAGGAAGGCUCGUCCGCUCUGGGUUAGUCGGGUCCUAAGCUGAGGCCGACAGGCGUAGGCGAUGGAUAACAGGUUGAUAUUCCUGUACCACCUAUAAUCGUUUUAAUCGAUGGGGGGGACGCAGUAGGAUAGGCGAAGCGUGCGAUUGGAUUGCACGUCUAAGCAGUAAGGCUGAGUAUUAGGCAAAUCCGGUACUCGUUAAGGCUGAGCUGUGAUGGGGAGAAGACAUUGUGUCUUCGAGUCGUUGAUUUCACACUGCCGAGAAAAGCCUCUAGAUAGAAAAUAGGUGCCCGUACCGCAAACCGACACAGGUAGUCAAGAUGAGAAUUCUAAGGUGAGCGAGCGAACUCUCGUUAAGGAACUCGGCAAAAUGACCCCGUAACUUCGGGAGAAGGGGUGCUCUUUAGGGUUAACGCCCAGAAGAGCCGCAGUGAAUAGGCCCAAGCGACUGUUUAUCAAAAACACAGGUCUCUGCUAAACCGUAAGGUGAUGUAUAGGGGCUGACGCCUGCCCGGUGCUGGAAGGUUAAGAGGAGUGGUUAGCUUCUGCGAAGCUACGAAUCGAAGCCCCAGUAAACGGCGGCCGUAACUAUAACGGUCCUAAGGUAGCGAAAUUCCUUGUCGGGUAAGUUCCGACCCGCACGAAAGGCGUAACGAUUUGGGCACUGUCUCAACGAGAGACUCGGUGAAAUCAUAGUACCUGUGAAGAUGCAGGUUACCCGCGACAGGACGGAAAGACCCCGUGGAGCUUUACUGUAGCCUGAUAUUGAAAUUCGGCACAGCUUGUACAGGAUAGGUAGGAGCCUUUGAAACGUGAGCGCUAGCUUACGUGGAGGCGCUGGUGGGAUACUACCCUAGCUGUGUUGGCUUUCUAACCCGCACCACUUAUCGUGGUGGGAGACAGUGUCAGGCGGGCAGUUUGACUGGGGCGGUCGCCUCCUAAAAGGUAACGGAGGCGCUCAAAGGUUCCCUCAGAAUGGUUGGAAAUCAUUCAUAGAGUGUAAAGGCAUAAGGGAGCUUGACUGCGAGACCUACAAGUCGAGCAGGGUCGAAAGACGGACUUAGUGAUCCGGUGGUUCCGCAUGGAAGGGCCAUCGCUCAACGGAUAAAAGCUACCCCGGGGAUAACAGGCUUAUCUCCCCCAAGAGUUCACAUCGACGGGGAGGUUUGGCACCUCGAUGUCGGCUCAUCGCAUCCUGGGGCUGUAGUCGGUCCCAAGGGUUGGGCUGUUCGCCCAUUAAAGCGGUACGCGAGCUGGGUUCAGAACGUCGUGAGACAGUUCGGUCCCUAUCCGUCGUGGGCGUAGGAAAUUUGAGAGGAGCUGUCCUUAGUACGAGAGGACCGGGAUGGACAUACCUCUGGUGUACCAGUUGUCGUGCCAACGGCAUAGCUGGGUAGCUAUGUGUGGACGGGAUAAGUGCUGAAAGCAUCUAAGCAUGAAGCCCCCCUCAAGAUGAGAUUUCCCAACUUCGGUUAUAAGAUCCCUCAAAGAUGAUGAGGUUAAUAGGUUCGAGGUGGAAGCAUGGUGACAUGUGGAGCUGACGAAUACUAAUCGAUCGAAGACUUAAUCAAAA